GACGAACGCUGGCGGCGUGCCUAAUACAUGCAAGUAGAACGCUGAAGGAGGAGCUUGCUUCUCUGGAUGAGUUGCGAACGGGUGAGUAACGCGUAGGUAACCUGCCUGGUAGCGGGGGAUAACUAUUGGAAACGAUAGCUAAUACCGCAUAAUAGCAGUUGUUGCAUGACAACUGUUUGAAAGGUGCAAUUGCACCACUACCAGAUGGACCUGCGUUGUAUUAGCUAGUUGGUGGGGUAACGGCUCACCAAGGCGACGAUACAUAGCCGACCUGAGAGGGUGAUCGGCCACACUGGGACUGAGACACGGCCCAGACUCCUACGGGAGGCAGCAGUAGGGAAUCUUCGGCAAUGGACGGAAGUCUGACCGAGCAACGCCGCGUGAGUGAAGAAGGUUUUCGGAUCGUAAAGCUCUGCUGUAAGAGAAGAACGAGUGUGAGAGUGGAAAGUUCACACUGUGACGGUAUCUUACCAGAAAGGGACGGCUAACUACGUG
RNAcentral lists this ribosomal RNA (495 nucleotides) under uncultured bacterium. Its description in RNAcentral is "partial 16S ribosomal RNA". It matches the Rfam family "Bacterial small subunit ribosomal RNA", at positions 28 to 507 of the family's 1533-position model. The record is from RNAcentral.